AGAAACUUAGGUUGAACUAAACCAGGGGCCUUCAAAGCCCCAAACAGGGGACGUACCCCUAGCUUCUG
This 68-nucleotide transfer RNA is filed under the name Strophurus spinigerus (soft spiny-tailed gecko). RNAcentral describes it as "tRNA-Trp". Lineage: Eukaryota; Metazoa; Chordata; Lepidosauria; Squamata; Diplodactylidae. The record is from RNAcentral.